CCCAGCGGUAGUCAGCUACCCGUCGCUGUGCGGUGCCUGCGAUAGUGUUAUGCUGCUGGGAGAGGAAAGGCGCUGCCAAGUGGCUCCCGGCGCCGCCGGUGCCGUCCUGGCCUUCGGCGGCGGCGGGGUUUGGCAGCGCUCUGCGGCCCUGAGAGUGGAGUAACCCCUGCCCCGUGGGGUUAGUCCUAGAUGGAGCGCAGACAGA
This 205-nucleotide small nucleolar RNA is filed under the name Calidris pygmaea (Spoon-billed sandpiper). Its description in RNAcentral is "Small nucleolar RNA SNORA74 (ENSCPGG00000001011.1)". It matches the Rfam family "Small nucleolar RNA SNORA74". Rfam says of the family: U19 belongs to the H/ACA class of snoRNAs. snoRNAs bind a number of proteins (including dyskerin, Gar1p and Nop10p in the case of the H/ACA class) to form snoRNP complexes. This class are thought to guide the sites of modification of uridines to pseudouridines by forming direct base pairing interactions with substrate RNAs. The record is from Rfam by way of RNAcentral. Lineage: Eukaryota; Metazoa; Chordata; Aves; Charadriiformes; Scolopacidae.